Molecule: ribosomal RNA, 253 nt
Filed under: uncultured bacterium
Lineage: Bacteria
Description: partial 16S ribosomal RNA
Rfam family: Bacterial small subunit ribosomal RNA
Source: RNAcentral
UACAGAGGGUGCAAGCGUUGUUCGGAAUUAUUGGGCGUAAAGCGCGUGUAGGCGGCGAUUUAAGUCGGGUGUGAAAGCCCUCAGCUCAACUGAGGAAGUGCGCCCGAGACUGAAUGGCUUGAGUGCCGAAGAGGGUGGCGGAAUUCCCCAAGUAGAGGUGAAAUUCGUAGAGAUGGGGAGGAACACCGGAGGCGAAGGCGGCCACCUGGGAGGUAACUGACGCUGAGACGCGAAAGCGUGGGGAGCGAACAGG